CCAGAAACACAGUCUGGAUCUGCACAGAAUAAAAUGCUGAGUGGGAUUAUAGCCUGCGGACUAGGUCUGCUCUUCCUUGGGGUGGGGCUGUUCCUCAGCUUCAAGACUCAUGAAGCACACUCUGGACUUCAGCCAACAGGACUCCUGAACUGAAGUGCAGCUGGAAACCCUGAAGGGCAGACCUGCAUCCCUACCU
Long non-coding RNA from Cavia porcellus (domestic guinea pig), 196 nucleotides. RefSeq lists it as uncharacterized. The record is from RefSeq and is a predicted model, not a curated record. NCBI's taxonomy places the organism in Eukaryota, Metazoa, Chordata, Mammalia, Rodentia, Caviidae. The transcript has 3 exons.